RNAcentral lists this ribosomal RNA (372 nucleotides) under uncultured bacterium. RNAcentral describes it as "bacterial SSU rRNA". It matches the Rfam family "Bacterial small subunit ribosomal RNA", at positions 524 to 898 of the family's 1533-position model. The record is from RNAcentral.
UACGGAGGAUGCGAGCGUUAUCCGGAUUCAUUGGGUUUAAAGGGUGCGUAGGCGGUUUAUUAAGUCAGUGGUGAAAUCCUGCGGCUCAACCGUAGAACUGCCAUUGAUACUGAUAAACUUGAAUGUAGUUGAGGUAGGCGGAAUGUGUAGUGUAGCGGUGAAAUGCUUAGAUAUUACACAGAACACCGAUUGCGAAGGCAGCUUGCCAAGCUAUAAUUGACGCUGAUGCACGAAAGCGUGGGGAUCAAACAGGAUUAGAUACCCUGGUAGUCCACGCCGUAAACGAUGUUCACUCGCUGUUUGCGAUAUACCGUAAGCGGCCAAGCGAAAGCAUUAAGUGAACCACCUGGGGAGUACGUCGGCAACGGUGAA